RNAcentral lists this ribosomal RNA (244 nucleotides) under uncultured bacterium. RNAcentral's name for it is "partial 16S ribosomal RNA". It matches the Rfam family "Bacterial small subunit ribosomal RNA", at positions 91 to 334 of the family's 1533-position model. The record is from RNAcentral.
CGGACCGGCGCACGGGUGAGUAACGCGUAUGCAACUUACCUAUCAGAGGGGGAUAACCCGGCGAAAGUCGGACUAAUACCGCAUGAAGCAGGGGUCCCGCAUGGGGAUAUUUGCUAAAGAUUCAUCGCUGAUAGAUAGGCAUGCGUUCCAUUAGGCGGUUGGCGGGGUAACGGCCCACCAAACCGACGAUGGAUAGGGGUUCUGAGAGGAAGGUCCCCCACAUUGGUACUGAGACACGGACCAA